GCCGGAGUGGCGGAACUGGCAGACGCAGGGGACUUAAAAUCCUCCGCCUUCGGGCGUCCGGGUUCGAUUCCCGGCUCCGGCA
This 82-nucleotide transfer RNA is filed under the name Thermoleophilia bacterium. Its description in RNAcentral is "tRNA-Leu". It matches the Rfam family "tRNA". From Rfam's summary of the family: Transfer RNA (tRNA) molecules are approximately 80 nucleotides in length. Their secondary structure includes four short double-helical elements and three loops (D, anti-codon, and T loops). Further hydrogen bonds mediate the characteristic L-shaped molecular structure. tRNAs have two regions of fundamental functional importance: the anti-codon, which is responsible for specific mRNA codon recognition, and the 3' end, to which the tRNAs corresponding amino acid is attached (by aminoacyl-tRNA synthetases). tRNAs cope with the degeneracy of the genetic code in two manners: having more than one tRNA (with a specific anti-codon) for a particular amino acid; and 'wobble' base-pairing, i.e. permitting non-standard base-pairing at the 3rd anti-codon position. Lineage: Bacteria; Bacillati; Actinomycetota; Thermoleophilia. The record is from RNAcentral.